Molecule: long non-coding RNA, 1167 nt
Organism: Aedes aegypti (yellow fever mosquito)
Lineage: Eukaryota; Metazoa; Arthropoda; Insecta; Diptera; Culicidae
Exons: 3
Source: RefSeq, marked validated
UGAUUUCAAAACAACUCAUGAAAAGGCAUAUAGAGUUAUUCUCAAUCGCAAAUCUUUUUAUAAACAGGAUCCUUAGUAUGAAGUAAAAUUUAUUUGUUUAUAUCGUAGUAAAGUAAUCUCAUUGAAUAUGGAUCUACAAAGUGCCUUAAAUACUCCCCAUAUACGUGUUAAGCUUGUUGCAAUGAUACACACAACCUUGAUUGCCGCAGCUCUAAACAGCUACUGGUUACCAGCAUCAUACCAAUUUUAUAACAUACUCUUCAUCAUAUCGUUAUUUUGGGCCAUACAUUGGAAAGAAUCAUCAGAUGCUGUGCAAAUUGCGUGUUUGAUCGAUGUGAUAGGAUUCUUAUUUGAUUUAACUGGCAUUAUCUUGUACUUCCCAAGUAAAGGAGCCAUUCUAUCAGCCGUUUUUGCAAUUUUUAAUUUAGCGUUACGACCAUUCACUCUUCUUUUACUACAUCGCGAAUUGACUGAUCGUGGAGGAAGAUUGAGUUUGACAACGGAGGCGACUGGAAAUAAUCCUUCGAGCUAUGAAGACAUUGAUCAACACCAUCAGGUUUUUACGCCAACUGUUCUAUCAUAGAUCCCGUCGCAUUUAUUUGUAUAGCGACAUUGAAGCUAGUGAACCGCUUUGAAGUAUAAGAAGGGAGAAUUAACUAGUUGAGGAGUGAGUUCGACGGCGGCAACUGGAUAUAAUCCUUCAAUUAACAAAACAAUGAACAAAGAAAACAAUUAACAGCAACUCACAUGUUUUAAGGCUUUAUUGGUGCAAUUGUAAACACUUAAGGCUAAUUCUUCACUUAUAGUUUUUCAUAAAUCUAGUACCAUAAGGAAAAUUCAUUUUGACCGAUUGGACUUCAGCUUCUUCAUAUACCCUCAACGAUAAUAGUUCAAGGCAUUUCCAAAGUUAUUCCCACAGCGUGGUAUCAGUUUUCUUAAGGUGAAAAUGCAUCGAAGCCACACCUCAGAUUUUCAAGAUUACGGUAUUCACGGAUUACGGUAAAUAAUUAAUGUAUGUAUGUGUAUAUACAUAUAAAAAUUAGAGAAACCUGGGUCCUUCCUUAGUCGAGUGGUUAGUACUAGCAAUAAAAAAAAGCUCUGGGUUCUUUACAUUGCUCAACAAUUAUAUUCUUCCACCGCCUCACUUAUAUACCAAUUUGAAGCUGA